RNAcentral lists this long non-coding RNA (1984 nucleotides) under Dendronephthya gigantea. Its description in RNAcentral is "uncharacterized LOC114516180". Lineage: Eukaryota; Metazoa; Cnidaria; Anthozoa; Malacalcyonacea; Nephtheidae. The record is from RNAcentral.
AUGAAUUAUAGGGCCGGCUUCCAGAGGAUACACUGUUAAUUUUGAGGUGCUAAACUAGCACCAACGUAGGUGUCAAAUCAGCACAAUGCAGUGGUGCUAAAUAGAAAGUGCUAUUUUGACACCAAUUUCGGCGCUAAUUUAACACCAUCAAAUCUGACAUUACGCUAAAAGUGCCAAUAUGACACCUUUUAAAUUCAGCACCAUUGUAAUGUGUUGAAAUAACACCUCUGUUGCCGACGGAAAGUGCUAAAAUAACGCUAUAUUGAGAGCUAAAGUACGGGGUGUCAAAAUAACACUAAAUGGCGGAUAGGAAAAAAGCGGUUCUUUAAGUAAUUAUUGGAAAAUAAGUCCGUAUUUUCGAUUCAUGAUCAGAUGUUUUGGAACAAGAAAUUCCUGUGCGUUUUGGCACAACUAUUCAUCUGAGUGAUCUGACGACAUGGAAAUUCGGCUUGUUCUGAUACAAAAAAAACGAUAGAGACGAAUACUAGACAAAUGGUACAUCGAUAGUAUCGAUAUUCGAUAGUGAUUCAUUGUCCUUUUCAUUUUAUCAAACUAUGUUAUUCCGCGCUAUAUUUUCGGACUGCCUAUGUAUUGAUUGCUACAAAGUAUUUAUUUCGCAAUCGCCUGCGCUAUAUGUAUGUCCAUAUAAGGAACAAAAUGUAACACGUGAUCAGCGCCUGCAUGCAAAUUUUUGAGCGCGUCGUUUGAAAACUCUUUUGAAACGUACUUCAUACUGCCAUGUUGAAGACGUUUUGAGCGUUAUUUCUUAACUAUUUUGGUACUUCUGAAUAUGCUGAACAACAACGAACUCACAUAAGGAAAUAUCAAGACAAUUGGCCAUGACAUUAUCUCAGAAAUAUCUUGAGAAGCCAAAUGAAUUCUACUUUUAAUACUGCGAUGAUCUCUUUAGCAAUCUGGGUCAAAGAAAAUAUCAUUGCAAUAAUAGUUUUCACCAAGAGUGAACAAAGGCUUCAAUGUGGAAAAUUAAGGGGAAACUGUAAUUCUAAUGAUUCACUAGGGAAUAAGGGAUGUGUAUACAAUUAAUGUAUCCAACCAUGGAAGAAAAACAAAGUAUUUCACCUAUGAAAAUUUAGAAAUAUCCCUUCCUUGCUGACUCAAUUGUGGUGGAACAGGUUCAUGGAUCAUAACAAGGGCAAGGGUAGAAACAAUUUAAGAAAAAUAUCCUGCACUCCAGCUUAUUACAGAGGUAAAAGCUGAAUUUUAAACAGUAAACUACAAGUUGAUCCAUGAUAUGGUUGGCAAAUUUCAAUCCAUUGAUUCAGAAAAAUGUUUUGGACUAUGCCAAGAAAUGUAACAAGAAAACUACAUUGGUUCUUAUAAACAGAGUGGAGAGAGCAAUUGCUGGGAAAUCAGACAUCAAGAGCACAGUUGCUUAGAUUUUGAAGGAACUAUUGAAGGAGAAUGCAGGAGAAUCUCAGUCUCUCUUCUUUAAGAUUUGUUCUGUUGUUGAUUCCAUAGAUCAGGAUAAUUGGUUCAGAAGACCUUUCAGAUGUUCAAACUUUGAUGAUUGCGGUGGAGGGGCAAAUGUUAACUUAUUCAAGAACAGACUCGACCCUAUUUUAUCUACUAAACAUGGAGUACAUUGCUGGUGUGGCAAAUGGAAACUGCUCUCGUCAGGAAGCCUUAGCCUUAGGACAAAAACUUUUAAAGGACGUUAAGUACCCUAGACAUUUUAUACACUCUUGUACAUAGAUUUUCCUGUCACAACAUAUGUAGAAAUAAAUAUUUUUAAAUCGCAUUUUGUCCACUUUGUAUGAUUAUAGCUUAUGCUAUUUAGUCGCUCCAUUGCUAGCGCUAAAAGUGCAAAAACUAAACCACACAAACUUCGGGUGUUAGAUUAACACCAUAAAUUGGCGUAAAAGUAGCACCAAAGAUCGUGCUAAUUUGACACCUUAUUUCGCGGUGUCAAUUUAGCACCCGAAAUGGUGUUAUUCUGUACCUUUUUAUCUGACACCUUUUUUGG